RNAcentral lists this long non-coding RNA (268 nucleotides) under Hordeum vulgare. Its description in RNAcentral is "long non-coding RNA (HVUL_LNC003753)". The record is from RNAcentral. Lineage: Eukaryota; Viridiplantae; Streptophyta; Magnoliopsida; Poales; Poaceae.
UCCCAACUCAUAUAAGGAGAGGAAAACCCUGAUUUUUGGAGAUCCACCAAGAGCCACGAAAUUUCCUCCUCCCAGGCAGCCGCCUUGGGAUGGAGAACCACCUCCAUACCAGCACCAUCUACAAGGAAGAAGGGGGCCAAGGGCUGACGCCCCCAAGGGCCGUGGCCGCCGCCGUGGCCGCCGUCUCCUCUCCGGGCUGCACCUCUCCAUCAACCUCUUGCUCACCAUGGCCAUGUGUGAGUAGUCUCCCUCGGGGCAGAGGGCUCUA